Molecule: ribosomal RNA, 448 nt
Filed under: uncultured bacterium
Lineage: Bacteria
Description: partial 16S ribosomal RNA
Rfam family: Bacterial small subunit ribosomal RNA
Source: RNAcentral
AUGAACGCUGGCGGCAGGCCUAAUACAUGCAAGUCGAGCGGUCCCUUCGGGGGCAGCGGCGGACGGGUGAGUAACGCGUGGGAACGUGCCCUUUGGUACGGAACAACUGAGGGAAACUUCAGCUAAUACCGUAUGUGCCCUUCGGGGGAAAGAUUUAUCGCCAUUGGAGCGGCCCGCGUUAGAUUAGCUAGUUGGUAGGGUAAUGGCCUACCAAGGCGACGAUCUAUAGCUGGUCUGAGAGGAUGAUCAGCCACACUGGGACUGAGACACGGCCCAGACUCCUACGGGAGGCAGCAGUAGGGAAUCUUGCGCAAUGGGCGAAAGCCUGACGCAGCCAUGCCGCGUGAAUGAUGAAGGUCUUAGGAUUGUAAAAUUCUUUCACCGGGGACGAUAAUGACGGUACCCGGAGAAGAAGCCCCGGCUAACUUCGUGCCAGCAGCCGCGGUAA